This 435-nucleotide ribosomal RNA is filed under the name uncultured bacterium. Its description in RNAcentral is "bacterial SSU rRNA". It matches the Rfam family "Bacterial small subunit ribosomal RNA", at positions 355 to 796 of the family's 1533-position model. The record is from RNAcentral.
UCGAGGAUCUUCGGCAAUGGGCGCAAGCCUGACCGAGCGACGCCGCGUGCGCGAUGAAGGCCUUCGGGUUGUAAAGCGCUGUCGAGGGGGAGGAAAGCCCGCAAGGGUCUGACUAAUCCCUGGAGGAAGCACGGGCUAAGUUCGUGCCAGCAGCCGCGGUAAGACGAACCGUGCGAACGUUGUUCGGAUUCACUGGGCUUAAAGGGCGCGUAGGCGGGCGAUCAAGUCAGGGGUGAAAUCCUCCGGCUCAACCGGAGAACAGCUUUUGAUACUGAUCGCCUCGAGGGAGGUAGGGGCAUGUGGAACUUCCGGUGGAGCGGUGAAAUGCGUAGAUAUCGGAAGGAACGCCGGUGGCGAAAGCGACGUGCUGGACCUUCUCUGACGCUGAGGCGCGAAAGCCAGGGGAGCAAACGGGAUUAGAUACCCCCGUAGUCC